RNAcentral lists this long non-coding RNA (2039 nucleotides) under Homo sapiens (human). RNAcentral describes it as "HSALNT0312331". Lineage: Eukaryota; Metazoa; Chordata; Mammalia; Primates; Hominidae. The record is from RNAcentral.
AAAAAAAAUUGAGAAGGUAACUACGGACUUCAUUGGUCUAUUGUUAAUACAUAAUGAGACGAUACAGUGAAAGAACUCUCCAAAUGACAAAGCACUAUCUCCAUCUAAGAAUAUCGCUUCUGUUGCAUCAUAGUGAAGUAGUUCCACAGGUGUUUCUGCUCGGACUGACUGGUUCAAAUCUCGGCUGUACUGCCAGGAUUUAAGACACUUUGAAAAUGGGCAAAGCCUCAUUUUUCCUAGGUCAAAAGGAGUUCAAGAUUGGGGAAAUCUGAGGAUUCAGAAGGAUGAUAAAUGUUAGAACAUGGAAUCAGGAUGUCACCAGCACUAACACCUGUCCUAGUUCCAGCUCUGGUGAACUCCAGCAGACCUGCUCAAGUGGACAGCAUUAGGGACCUUGUCAGUUUUGCAGUGCUUUUUGCCUGAAGCCACCUCAGGUCCCUCAUGCUGCAGGUAUGCUGAGGGGCCUGGAGGUGACAGGCUGUUUUGCACCCAGGCACACUGAGGCCCGGGUGCUGCAGGGCUGUAAGGGUGGCCGUACUUUACUCUCUCCCAACUCCCCCACCCGUGUCAUUUUUAUUUGUACUUUAUAAAUCCUUUUCACUUUUGCAAGUUCCUUUUGGCCGCAAUCUGAAUGCAGUCCUGUAUGGGAUAAAGGAAUAUCAUAAGUAUAUAUUUUUUAAAACAGCAACACGAUUCAUGACUCUGUUGCAGAAUGUGAAGGAGCAAGUCUCUCAAUUGGCUAAUUGAAUCAAGCUCUGCAAUUUCCUUCUUCCCUGGAGCCUGAUCCUGCAGGACAAGGAUCUAUUUUCAAGUCAAUUACAAUUCCUAAGGGAUAUAAUUACCUACAAAAUCAGCAAAGGAACCCUAUUUCUCUUAUGGUGCAGAGCAAAACCAGUGUGGCUGGAAAGGAGAAAGAAGGAAAGGGGGCUUCAAGCAAGAUCAUGUGCAUUGUCAGACUUCAGAUCAUCCAAGGCCUUGUAAGAUUAGGGGACUUUUUUUUUUUUUUGCAUAAGUCAUAAAGAAAUCACUGUGGGGGAAUCAAACACUAAACAGGUAUGCAAGAUAAUUUCAGAUAAAGUAUAUGAAACAAAAAUGGGAUAGAGCAAGUUUAGAGGAGAUAAUGAUGAGGAAUGUCCUCUCUGAGGAGGUGACAUUUGAACGGAGACCUGAAUGGGACAAAAGGGCUAGUGGAGAAGAGAUCUGAAGAAAGAGCAUUUCAAGCAUUAGAGUAAAUAGGGCAAAAAUCAGGAAGCAGGACUGUGCUGUUUGUUUAAUACACAGAAAGAAAGAAAUGGUUAACUGGAAUUUGGACUCGGGACUUGAGUUCAAAUUCAAAGUUAUUUAUGCUGCCCCCAAAUGCGACUACCUAACUGAGCCUGCUGUUUGCUAAGGAUUAGGGGCUUUCUCUGUUUCACUAGAUGGUAAGUACCUGAGCAUAGGGACCAUGUCUUCCCACUUAUUUCUGCAAACUUAGUAUCUGGGCCCUGUCUAGUACCUGUUAGACUCUCAGUAAAUAUUCAUUGAAUGAAAACAUCUCUACAAUUACAAUACCCUGACUGUAUAUCUACUGUUAAAAUUCUAAGACUAGAAAAAAACAAUUUAAAUGUUGAAAUUCAGUCAGCCAAUUGGUAAUUUAAUAACCCAACUAAAAAAAAAAACCCAGAAGACAAAAUAGUCAAACCAUUUCUAAGAGUAGCUGCAGACUAAAUAACAAGAAAAGAAAAAAAUUAUCUAAAGCAACGCUUCUCAACGUCAGUGCUAUUAGCAUUUGGGGCUGAAUAAUUCUUGGUCAUGGGAGCUGUCCUGAGCAUUAUUUAGUGGCAUCGUUAGUCGCUACUCAAUAGUUACUGGUAGCAUUCCCCUCUUGCGACAACCCAAAAUGUCUGCAGACAUUGCCAGAUGGCCCUAUUGAGAACACUGGUAUGAAAGUAUUAAUGCCAUGCCACUUUCUAAAAUGUUGCAGAAGUUGUUGUGCCACCCAGUGGGUUUUCAGUUGAUUUGUGUGCAAAGUUUUACCAAGAGGUAUGAUAAAUAUGUCC